GGUAGAGGAGCGUUCUGUAACCUGUGAAGGUGAUCGAGAGGUUUGCUGGAGGUAUCAGAAGUGCGAAUGCUGACAUAAAGUAACGAUAAUGUGGGUGAAAAACCCACACGCCGAAAGUCUAAGGUUUCCUGCGCCGUUAAUCCGCAGGGUGAGUCGGCCCUAAGGGAGGAGAAAUCGUAGUCGAUGGGAAACGGGUUAAUAUUCCCGUACUUUAUAAUACUGCGAUGGGGGGGGACGGAGAAGGCUAGGUCAGCCCCCCGAUGGUUGUGGUGGGCUAGUCAGCCACCGAUGUGUGUGUGUUAAGUGAUGUGUAGAAAGGAUCUUCAAAUCCGGAACUCAAUUCCGAGACAUGAUGACGAGUACGAACUUGUUCGUGCAAAGUGAUUGAUGCCACGACUUCCAGGAAAAGUCCCUAAGCUUCAGGUAUUGUAAAACCGUACUAUAAACCGACACAGGUGGACAGGUAGAGAAUACCAAGGCGCUUGAGAGAACUUGGGUGAAGGAACUAGGCAAAAUGGCACCGUAACUUCGGGAGAAGGUGCGCCCUUGGUAAGUGAAGGUCCUUGCGACUGAGCUGAAAGGUUGCAGAUACCAGGUGGCUGCGAAAGACUAGUUUACUAAAAACAGCAACUCUGCAAACUCGUAAGAGAGCGUAAUAGGGUGUGAGCGCCUGCCCGGUGCCGGAAAGGUUAAGUGAUGGGGUUAGCCCUCGGGCGAAGCUCUUGAUCGAAGCCCCGGUAAACGGGCGGCCGUAACUAUAAAUUAACCGUUGUAGUUACGUAAAUAAACUUGGCUAUAUGCUGGAAACUCCGAGUAUCCUCCAGUACUCAUCUCAACUAAAAUUGAGGUAGUAAAAAUCUGCGAGGUGCAGGUACCCGCGGCUAGACGGAAAGACCCCGUGAACCUUUACUACAGCUUUACACUGAACUUUGAAUAUGCCUGUGUAGGAUAGGUGGGAGGCUUUGAAGCUGGAGCGCUAGCUCCAGUGGAGCCAACCUUGAAAUACCACCCUGGCGUGUUUGAGGUUCUAACCCUGUCCCGUAAUCCGGGUCGGGAACAGUGUAUGGUGGGUAGUUUGACUGGGGCGGUCUCCUCCUAAAGAGUAACGGAGGAGUACAAAGGUACCCUCAGCACGGUCGGAAAUCGUGCAUUGUGUGCAAAGGCAUAAGGUGCUUGACUGCGAGACGUACAAGUCGAGCAGGUACGAAAGUAGGUCUUAGUGAUCCGGUGGUCCUUUAUGGAAGGGCACGCUCAACGGAUAAAAGGACUCCGGGGAUAACAGGCUGAUACCACCCAAGAGUUCAUAUCGACGGUGGUGUUUGGCACCUCGAUGUCGGCUCAUCACAUCCUGGGGCUGUAGCCGGUCCCAAGGGUAUGGCUGUUCGCCAUUUAAAGUGGUACGUGAGCUGGGUUUAGAACGUCGUGAGACAGUUCGGUCCCUAUCUGCCGUUGGGCGUUGGAGAUUUGAGAGGAGCUGCUCCUAGUACGAGAGGACCGGAGUGGACGUACCUCUGGUGUUCCGGUUGUCACGCCAGUGGCAUUUGCCGGGUAGCUAAGUACGGACGGGAUAACCGCUGAAAGCAUCUAAGCGGGAAACCCCCUCAAGAUGAGAUCUCCGGACCUUUAAGGUCCUAAAGAUUCGUUGAAGACGACAACGUUGAUAGGCAGGGUGUGGAAGUCUCAGUAAUGAGUGAAGCUAACCUGUACUAAUUAAUCGUGCGACUUGACUAU
RNAcentral lists this ribosomal RNA (1731 nucleotides) under Coxiella burnetii. RNAcentral's name for it is "bacterial LSU rRNA". It matches the Rfam family "Bacterial large subunit ribosomal RNA", at positions 1227 to 2925 of the family's 2925-position model. The record is from RNAcentral. Lineage: Bacteria; Pseudomonadati; Pseudomonadota; Gammaproteobacteria; Legionellales; Coxiellaceae.